Molecule: ribosomal RNA, 253 nt
Filed under: uncultured prokaryote
Description: partial 16S ribosomal RNA
Rfam family: Bacterial small subunit ribosomal RNA
Source: RNAcentral
UACGGGGGGGGCAAGCGUUGUUCGGAAUUACUGGGCGUAAAGGGCGCGUAGGCGGUUGGAUAAGUCAGCUGUGAAAACCACGGGCUUAACUCGUGGCCUGCAGUUGAGACUGUCUGGCUUGAGUGUGGGAGAGGAGAGUGGAAUUCCUGGUGUAGCGGUGAAAUGCGUAGAUAUCGAGAGGAACACCUGCGGCGAAGGCGGGUUGCUGGGCCGACACUGACGCUGAUGCGCGAAAGCCAGGGGAGCGAACGGG